CCUACGGGGGGCAGCAGUGGGGAAUAUUGCACAAUGGGCGCAAGCCUGAUGCAGCCAUGCCGCGUGUGUGAAGAAGGCCUUCGGGUUGUAAAGCACUUUCAGCGGGGAGGAAGGCGUUAAGGUUAAUAACCUUGUCGAUUGACGUUACCCGCAGAAGAAGCACCGGCUAACUCCGUGCCAGCAGCCGCGGUAAUACGGAGGGUGCAAGCGUUAAUCGGAAUUACUGGGCGUAAAGCGCACGCAGGCGGUCUGUCAAGUCGGAUGUGAAAUCCCCGGGCUCAACCUGGGAACUGCAUUCCAAACUGGCAGGCUAGAGUCUUGUAGAGGGGGGUAGAAUUCCAGGUGUAGCGGUGAAAUGCGUAGAGAUCUGGAGGAAUACCGGUGGCGAAGGCGGCCCCCUGGACAAAGACUGACGCUCAGGUGCGAAAGCGUGGGGAGCAAACAGGAUUAGAUACCCUUGUAGUC
RNAcentral lists this ribosomal RNA (465 nucleotides) under uncultured Klebsiella sp. Its description in RNAcentral is "bacterial SSU rRNA". It matches the Rfam family "Bacterial small subunit ribosomal RNA", at positions 338 to 795 of the family's 1533-position model. Lineage: Bacteria; Pseudomonadati; Pseudomonadota; Gammaproteobacteria; Enterobacterales; Enterobacteriaceae. The record is from RNAcentral.